This 851-nucleotide ribosomal RNA is filed under the name uncultured bacterium. RNAcentral describes it as "bacterial SSU rRNA". It matches the Rfam family "Bacterial small subunit ribosomal RNA", at positions 56 to 897 of the family's 1533-position model. The record is from RNAcentral.
UGCAGUCGAGGGGCAGCAUGAGACGGAGAUUCGUUGAAGUCUUGAUGGCGACCGGCGCAAGGGUGCGUAACGCGUGAGCAACUUGCCCGUUUCAGGGGGAUAACCGGUGGAAACGCCGACUAAUACCCCAUAGUAUUGAGUUUAGGCAUCUUUACUCAAUUAAAGAAUUUCGGAAACGGAUAGGCUCGCGUGACAUUAGCUAGAUGGCGGGGUAACGGCCCACCAUGGCGACGAUGUCUAGGGGUUCUGAGAGGAAGGUCCCCCACACUGGAACUGAGACACGGUCCAGACUCCUACGGGAGGCAGCAGUGAGGAAUAUUGGUCAAUGGUCUGACGACUGAACCAGCCAUGCCGCGUGAAGGUCACGGCCCUAUGGGUCUUAAACUUCUUUUGUAAGGGAGCAAUAAGUUUCACGUGUGGGAUGGUGAGAGUACCUUACGAAUAAGCAUCGGCUAACUCCGUGCCAGCAGCCGCGGUAAUACGGGGGAUGCAAGCGUUAUCCGGAUUUAUUGGGUUUAAAGGGUGCGUAGGCGGCAUUGUAAGUCAGCGGUGAAAUUUCGGAGCUCAACUUCGAACGUGCCGUUGAUACUGCAGUGCUAGAAUGCGGAUGCCGUGGGAGGAAUGUGUGGUGUAGCGGUGAAAUGCAUAGAUAUCACACAGAACACCGAUUGCGAAGGCAUCUCACGAAUCCGCAAUUGACGCUGAGGCACGAAAGCGUGGGGAUCAAACAGGAUUAGAUACCCUGGUAGUCCACGCUGUAAACGAUGAUGACUAACCGUCGGCGAUACACAGUCGGUGGCCAAGCGAAAGCGAUAAGUCAUCCACCUGGGGGAGUACGACCGCAAGGUUGA